AAGCUAGUCGUAUCAGAAUAGUUAUAUCUGGUACAUAUCGGUUUACCCGAAUAAAAUUCUAAACAAAAAUAUGAUAAUGACAUUUUUUGUUUAUAUGUCUUGACCAAGUUACGUGCCAGCAGUCGCGGUAAUACGUAAGAGACUAGUGUUAUUCAUCUUUAUUAGGUUUAAAGGGUACCUAGACGGUAAAUCAAGCCUAGACAGGAACUAAUUUACUAGAGUUAUAUAUGAGAGAGCUUUAAGGUACUAAUAGUGGAGAGAUAAAAUUCUUUGAUACUUUUAUUCGAAAGAAUAGUAUAGGCACGGAUUAAGGCGUAGGCAUCUCUUUAUGUGUUAACUGACGUUGAGGGACGAAGGCGUCAUUAAACCAAAAGGAUUAGAUACCCUAGUAGUUGAUAGCAGAAAAUGAUGAGUGUCAUGGAUUAGAUCUUUUUAGUUCAUAAAUUAUAGUGUAAGCACUCCACCUCAAGAGUAAUUUGGCAACAUUGGAACUGAAAUCAUUAGACCGUUUCUGAAACCAGUAGUGAAGUAUGUUGUUUAAUUUGAUAAUCCACAAAGAACCUUACCAUAACAACCUAGAGUUUCCGUCCUGUGUUUAUUUUUUUUUACUAAGGAUGAUGUACUUGGAUGAUUAUAAUAUAAUAUAAUUACAAGCGUUGCACGGCUGUCUUCAGUUAAUGUCGUGAGAUUUUGGUUAGUUCCAUAGAAUUUACGAAAA
This 718-nucleotide ribosomal RNA is filed under the name Byssoloma subdiscordans. RNAcentral describes it as "SSU rRNA". It matches the Rfam family "Bacterial small subunit ribosomal RNA", at positions 389 to 1102 of the family's 1533-position model. The record is from RNAcentral. Lineage: Eukaryota; Fungi; Ascomycota; Lecanoromycetes; Lecanorales; Pilocarpaceae.